GAUGAACGCUGGCGGCGUGCCUAAUACAUGCAAGUCGAGCGAACAGACGAGGAGCUUGCUCCUCUGACGUUAGCGGCGGACGGGUGAGUAACACGUGGAUAACCUACCUAUAAGACUGGGAUAACUUCGGGAAACCGGAGCUAAUACCGGAUAAUAUAUUGAACCGCAUGGUUCAAUAGUGAAAGACGGUUUUGCUGUCACUUAUAGAUGGAUCCGCGACGCAUUAGCUAGUUGGUAAGGUAACGGCUUACGAAGUCAACAAUCAGUAGCCGACCUGUGAGGGUGAUCGGCCACACUGGAACUGAGCCACGGUCCAGACUCCUAAGGGAGGCAGCAGUAGGGAAUCUUCCGCAAUGGGGGAAAGCCUGACGGAGCAACGCUGCGUGAGUGAUGAAGGUCUUCGGAUCGUAAAACUCUGUUAUUAGGGAAGAACAAAUGUGUAAGUAACUAUGCACGUCUUGACGGUACCUAAUCAGAAAGCCAAGGCUAACUACGUG
This 497-nucleotide ribosomal RNA is filed under the name uncultured bacterium. RNAcentral describes it as "partial 16S ribosomal RNA". It matches the Rfam family "Bacterial small subunit ribosomal RNA", at positions 28 to 507 of the family's 1533-position model. The record is from RNAcentral.